This 147-nucleotide ribosomal RNA is filed under the name Leucoagaricus griseodiscus. RNAcentral describes it as "partial 28S ribosomal RNA". It matches the Rfam family "Eukaryotic large subunit ribosomal RNA", at positions 1 to 145 of the family's 3401-position model. Lineage: Eukaryota; Fungi; Basidiomycota; Agaricomycetes; Agaricales; Agaricaceae. The record is from RNAcentral.
UGACCUCAAAUCAGGUAGGACUACCUCGCUGAACUUAAGCAUAUCAAUAAGCGGAGGAAAAGAAACUAACAAGGAUUCCCCUAGUAACUGCGAGUGAAGCGGGAAAAGCUCAAAUUUAAAAUCUGGCGGUCUCUGACUGUCCGAGUG